This is a transfer RNA of Ovis aries (sheep), 72 nucleotides long. It matches the Rfam family "tRNA". Rfam says of the family: Transfer RNA (tRNA) molecules are approximately 80 nucleotides in length. Their secondary structure includes four short double-helical elements and three loops (D, anti-codon, and T loops). Lineage: Eukaryota; Metazoa; Chordata; Mammalia; Artiodactyla; Bovidae. The record is from Rfam.
UCCCUGGUAGCUCACUAGGUAAAGAUUCUGCUUGCAAUGCAGGAGAUCCAGGUUUGAUCCCUGGGUGGGGAA